RNAcentral lists this ribosomal RNA (397 nucleotides) under uncultured bacterium. Its description in RNAcentral is "partial 16S ribosomal RNA". It matches the Rfam family "Bacterial small subunit ribosomal RNA", at positions 523 to 918 of the family's 1533-position model. The record is from RNAcentral.
AUACGUAGGGGGCGAGCGUUGUCCGGAAUGAUUGGGCGUAAAGGGCGCGUAGGCGGCCCGGUAAGUCUGGAGUGAAAGUCCUGUUUUUAAGAUGGGAAUUGCUUUGGAUACUGUCGGGCUUGAGUGCAGGAGAGGUAAGUGGAAUUCCCAGUGUAGCGGUGAAAUGCGUAGAGAUUGGGAGGAACACCAGUGGCGAAGGCGACUUACUGGACUGUAACUGACGCUGAGGCGCGAAAGUGUGGGGAGCAAACAGGAUUAGAUACCCUGGUAGUCCACACCGUAAACGAUGAAUGCUAGGUGUAGGGGGUAUCGACCCCUUCUGUGCCGCGGUCAACACAAUAAGCAUUCCGCCUGGGGAGUACGGCCGCAAGGUUGAAACUCAAGUGAAUUGACGGGG